RNAcentral lists this ribosomal RNA (622 nucleotides) under Bacteroides sp. RNAcentral's name for it is "bacterial SSU rRNA". It matches the Rfam family "Bacterial small subunit ribosomal RNA", at positions 63 to 680 of the family's 1533-position model. The record is from RNAcentral. Lineage: Bacteria; Pseudomonadati; Bacteroidota; Bacteroidia; Bacteroidales; Bacteroidaceae.
CGAGGGGCAUCAGGAUGUAGCAAUACAUUGCUGGCGACCGGCGCACGGGUGAGUAACACGUAUCCAACCUGCCUUUUACUCGGGGAUAGGCUUUCGAAAGAAAGAUUAAUACCCGAUGGUAUAAUAUUUCCGCAUGGGAUUAUUAUUAAAGAAUUUCGGUAAAAGAUGGGGAUGCGUUCCAUUAGGCAGUUGGCGGGGUAACGGCCCACCAAACCUUCGAUGGAUAGGGGUUCUGAGAGGAAGGUCCCCCACAUUGGAACUGAGACACGGUCCAAACUCCUACGGGAGGCAGCAGUGAGGAAUAUUGGUCAAUGGGCGAAAGCCUGAACCAGCCAAGUAGCGUGAAGGAUGACUGCCCUAUGGGUUGUAAACUUCUUUUAUAGGGGAAUAAAAUGAGCCACGUGUGGCUUUUUGUAUGUACCCUAUGAAUAAGGAUCGGCUAACUCCGUGCCAGCAGCCGCGGUAAUACGGAGGAUCCGAGCGUUAUCCGGAUUUAUUGGGUUUAAAGGGAGCGUAGGUGGACAUGUAAGUCAGUUGUGAAAGUUUGCGGCUCAACCGUAAAAUUGCAGUUGAUACUGUGUGUCUUGAGUACAGUAGAGGUGGGCGGAAUUCGUGGGUAGCG